CCUCGGUCGUGGGAAUAGCAGACAUAAUAGCUUUUCAAUUGUUGUGCGGAGCCGGGUGCCGCUUGGGGCUUGAUGGGUUAUCGCUGGAGUACGGUG
Molecule: long non-coding RNA, 96 nt
Organism: Aricia agestis (brown argus)
Lineage: Eukaryota; Metazoa; Arthropoda; Insecta; Lepidoptera; Lycaenidae
Exons: 3
Source: RefSeq, a predicted model, not a curated record